Molecule: ribosomal RNA, 549 nt
Filed under: Fusarium equiseti
Lineage: Eukaryota; Fungi; Ascomycota; Sordariomycetes; Hypocreales; Nectriaceae
Description: eukaryotic LSU rRNA
Rfam family: 5.8S ribosomal RNA (bases 182-335)
Source: RNAcentral
CUUCCGUAGGUGAACCUGCGGAGGGAUCAUUACCGAGUUUACAACUCCCAAACCCCUGUGAACAUACCUAUACGUUGCCUCGGCGGAUCAGCCCGCGCCCCGUAAAACGGGACGGCCCGCCCGAGGACCCCUAAACUCUGUUUUUAGUGGAACUUCUGAGUAAAACAAACAAAUAAAUCAAAACUUUCAACAACGGAUCUCUUGGUUCUGGCAUCGAUGAAGAACGCAGCAAAAUGCGAUAAGUAAUGUGAAUUGCAGAAUUCAGUGAAUCAUCGAAUCUUUGAACGCACAUUGCGCCCGCCAGUAUUCUGGCGGGCAUGCCUGUUCGAGCGUCAUUUCAACCCUCAAGCUCAGCUUGGUGUUGGGACUCGCGGUAACCCGCGUUCCCCAAAUCGAUUGGCGGUCACGUCGAGCUUCCAUAGCGUAGUAAUCAUACACCUCGUUACUGGUAAUCGUCGCGGCCACGCCGUUAAACCCCAACUUCUGAAUGUUGACCUCGGAUCAGGUAGGAAUACCCGCUGAACUUAAGCAUAUCAAUAAGCGGAGGAA